This is a long non-coding RNA of Python bivittatus (Burmese python), 264 nucleotides long. RefSeq lists it as uncharacterized. Lineage: Eukaryota; Metazoa; Chordata; Lepidosauria; Squamata; Pythonidae. The record is from RefSeq and is a predicted model, not a curated record.
GUGCAAGCAAGGAAAAGCAUCUGAAGGAGGCUGGUUGGCAAGUCACAUAGAAAACAUAAGAAUCAAGCUGUAGUCCUCAAAAAAUGGAGUUCAAAAUGGUAUACAUGGCAAUAUAAUCCUAAAGUGACCCUAACAAAGAGAACACUUUGUAAAAGAAAUGCAGGACUGGUUUCAGGCCAACUGAUGCCCUAAGCACAGCCAAACAAUGAUGCCCCUCGAUGGAAGCAAAACUCUCAUGCCAUGAGAUGGAAACAAAUGUGAUAU